AACGCACCUUGCGCCCUCUGGUAUUCCGGAGGGCAUGCCUGUUUGAGUGUCAUGAACACCUCACCCCUUCGGGUUUCCGACUGGGUGGAUUUGGGCGUUGCCAGUCACAUGGCUCGCCUUAAAAGCAUCAGCGGUCUCUGGCGUGAUAAGUUCUGCUGUGGACCGCUUCCAACCCGUCUUCUAGACACUUCAUGAUCUGACCUCAAAUCAGGUAGGACUACCCGCUGAACUUAA
This 234-nucleotide unclassified non-coding RNA is filed under the name uncultured fungus. Its description in RNAcentral is "partial contains 5.8S ribosomal RNA, internal transcribed spacer 2, and large subunit ribosomal RNA". The stretch from base 1 to 52 matches the Rfam family "5.8S ribosomal RNA", at positions 103 to 154 of the family's 154-position model. The record is from RNAcentral. Lineage: Eukaryota; Fungi.